ACAGAGGUCUCAAGCGUUGUUCGGAUUCAUUGGGCGUAAAGGGUGCGUAGGCUGUGGGGUAAGUCUGGUGUGAAAUCCCGGGGCUCAACCCCGGAACUGCACUGGAUACUGCUUUACCAGAGCACUGGAGAGGGAACUGGAAUUUACGGUGUAGCAGUGAAAUGCGUAGAUAUCGAGAGGAACACCUGCGGCGAAGGCGGGUUGCUGGGCCGACACUGACGCUGAUGCGCGAAAGCCAGGGGAGCGAACGGGA
This 253-nucleotide ribosomal RNA is filed under the name uncultured prokaryote. RNAcentral's name for it is "partial 16S ribosomal RNA". It matches the Rfam family "Bacterial small subunit ribosomal RNA", at positions 525 to 777 of the family's 1533-position model. The record is from RNAcentral.